GUAGGUGGCAAGCGUUGUCCGGAAUUAUUGGGCGUAAAGCGCGCGCAGGCGGUUCUUUAAGUCUGAUGUGAAAGCCCACGGCUCAACCGUGGAGGGUCAUUGGAAACUGGAGAGCUUGAGUACAGAAGAGGAAAGCGGAAUUCCACGUGUAGCGGUGAAAUGCGUAGAGAUGUGGAGGAACACCAGUGGCGAAGGCGGCUUUCUGGUCUGUAACUGACGCUGAGGCGCGAAAGCGUGGUGAGCAAACAGGAUUAGAUACCCUGGUAGUCCACGCCGUAAACGAUGAGUGCUAAGUGUUUAGGGGGGUUUUCCGCCCCCUUAGUGCUGCAGCUAACGCAUUAAGCACUCCGCCUGGGAGUAACGGCCGCAAGGCUG
Molecule: ribosomal RNA, 375 nt
Filed under: uncultured organism
Description: partial 16S ribosomal RNA
Rfam family: Bacterial small subunit ribosomal RNA
Source: RNAcentral